CGCCUAUCGAUUUUAGCUUGUGAUAACGCUACUGGUGGCCUACGUGACCGGCAGUACUCAUCAGUCAUCGUUCUGGAAGGAUCGUCGCCAACGGCAGGGACCCUCUUCUCAACUUUGAGGAUUUAUUGUACAUUGUACGAAGAGGGUUUUACUGUCUGCUUGGACCGUACGGCGAGUUGUUGACUGGUGACGCUCGCAUCUUCAGUCUGCUGUGAAAUACUCGUUAUCUACCGCCCUGACGACUACCUUCUGUGCUGUCUGUUGUCGCCUGGCUGCAUAACUUGUCGCGGAAUGCGGACUGCUUCCGGCUACCCGAGAUUGUAGUGUCUGCUACCGAUAAGUGACAUUUGCGUUUAUUCUUUUGGAAAUAUUUGGUUAAAUUGCUGGCCAGCUUGAAUUCAGGAAAGGACCUAACUGCGGUAUUUACGUUGAUUACCUAUUUCAUAGACUGGAUGCUCGACUCAUCUUGGUCUCUUCAAGACGACUUGUUUAUAUUAUAUUGUAUAUGUGUAGUAUUAAAUGUUUAUUUGUCAUAAUGGUUAUAUGUUAAUCUGUUCUUUCACAGCACGGUGGCCACCUGCAGCUCAAUAUUUUCUAAUGAUGUGUAAAACUGUUUAAUGCAUACUGCAUAUUUAAUUUGAUAUUGUAGAUUAAUAGCUUUACUUUGGUUGCACUAACUUGCAUAUUUUGCUGUCAAAUAUUUACACAAGGUUGCCUUAAUAAUUGUGAUUGCUUACCAGAGGGUUGUUUAAUCUCUUAAGAGUUAAACUUAUACCAUUUGCUACUUGAUAUAAAAUCAAACUAUUUCAAUACCAAAUAGUAAUAAAUUUAUUAAUCUCCAUAAACA
Long non-coding RNA from Homalodisca vitripennis (glassy-winged sharpshooter), 847 nucleotides. RefSeq lists it as uncharacterized. The transcript is spliced from 2 exons. The record is from RefSeq and is a predicted model, not a curated record. Lineage: Eukaryota; Metazoa; Arthropoda; Insecta; Hemiptera; Cicadellidae.